RNAcentral lists this ribosomal RNA (464 nucleotides) under uncultured bacterium. RNAcentral describes it as "partial 16S ribosomal RNA". It matches the Rfam family "Bacterial small subunit ribosomal RNA", at positions 339 to 795 of the family's 1533-position model. The record is from RNAcentral.
CUACGGGAUGCAGCAGUGGGGAAUAUUACACAAUGGGCGCAAGCCUGAUGCAGCCAUGCCGCGUGUAUGAAGAAGGCCUUCGGGUUGUAAAGUACUUUCAGCGGGGAGGAAGGGAGUAAAGUUAAUACCUUUGCUCAUUGACGUUACCCGCAGAAGAAGCACCGGCUAACUCCGUGCCAGCAGCCGCGGUAAUACGGAGGGUGCAAGCGUUAAUCGGAAUUGCUGGGCGUAAAGCGCACGCAGGCGGUUUGUUAAGUCAGAUGGGAAAUCCCCGGGCUCAACCUGGGAACUGCAUCUGAUACUGGCAAGCUUGAGUCUCGUAGAGGGGGGUAGAAUUCCAGGUGUAGCGGUGAAAUGCGUAGAGAUCUGGAGGAAUACCGGUGGCGAAGGCGGCCCCCUGGACGAAGACUGACGCUCAGGUGCGAAAGCGUGGGGAGCAAACAGGAUUAGAUACCCGAGUAGUC